RNAcentral lists this long non-coding RNA (466 nucleotides) under Mustela putorius furo (domestic ferret). RNAcentral's name for it is "lncRNA (ENSMPUG00000023982.1)". The record is from RNAcentral. Lineage: Eukaryota; Metazoa; Chordata; Mammalia; Carnivora; Mustelidae.
CAAUGAAGAGUUGAGUCCUUCAUCCAUCACACCAUUCUGACCUCUUCUGCCUUUUCUUCCACUUUUCUGGACCCUUGUGAUUACAUUGGGCCCACCUGGACAAUCCAACAUCAUCUCCCUAUUUUAAGCUCUGCUACUUAAAGUUCCUAGAUGUAAACAACAGAAGCUCUUCCAGCUAAUUUAGCAGAAAAGAAAUUUAUUAGAGCCUAUUGGGAAGCUCACAGAAUCUCCAAGAAGGCGCAAGCUCUCUCCCCUACUGGAGCACAGGUUGCAUGCUUAGCUCUGGAUCCUGAUGUCUGGCCCAGGGUCUGACAUAAUGUUUGAGACUAUUUGUUGAACAACAACAAAGAAGAAACAAAUACAGAUUCCUCUGUAUUUUAAGAAGUUUUUAAAAUCAAAAGCAAAAAGAAGACACCAACAGUCAACUGGGACCAGUGAUCUUUCUUCCUCUAGACAGGGAUUUGUU